GCUAAGAAUAUGAAUACUGAAAAACAAAUGUCCUAAACUGAAUUUAACUCAGUUUCUUAAUGUUCACUUUGGAGUGAUCCAUUUGUGCCCUAAAAUAAAUGUUCUCUGACAUUUGAUUCUCAUUUAAUAUUCACCUUGGUUGAAGCUUCUGGGUCUCCAUCCCUCUUCCACCUCCCUCCCUCUUCAACUCUUGGUUGCCCAGCAACCUCAAACAGCUGGUUGCCCAAACCGGAAAAGUAAAUGGGAUUAACUCUGGAGGAAACUAAUUGAAGGAAGCAUUAGUAUGCUCCCAAUCAGAAUUCUUUCAAAACUAGCUGAUUAAGUUGUGCUUUGCUGUCCUAAGUAAGAAUGUGGACUGUGGAGUGUACAGGUGGAAGAACUGUCAAACACUUGAAGACACACAGCAGUGGUGACAGCAGCUACUUACUGUAUAAUAGCACUUAACAGACCAUAGUCCUCUACCUGCAAAAAGGCGUAAAAUUAUAUUACAAGUCUUUUGCCCACUCUUCCUCUCAUUCCUGUAUUCAUGCAUGAAUCCAUACAUUCAUUCACUCACUCCCUUACCCAAUCCAGUUAAAUAUUUAUUGAGAGACAGCAGGCUAUUACAGAUAUUCUGUGGACUGUGGGUGAACCUGACAUUGGUUUCAAUGCUAACUCUACCACUUUCUAGCUGACAAUGAACUAAUUUUCUUAAACUUACUGGGUCUUCAUUUCACCAUUGGUAAAAAUCAAGUUAUCAAAACCUACCUCAAAGAGAUACUGUGAGGAUUAAGUAAGAUAGAACAUGCAAAACAACCAUUUACAGUGAUUUGGCCAGAUUAGACCUUCCAUUGAUUCACUUUCCCUUCUACUACAUGAAAUUGAAAUGUGGAAGAAAAAUUGGAGGUGUGUUAGCUAGUUUGUGACUGUAUUUUAAGCACAAAGCCAAGACAAGAAUGAAAUUUUAGCAGUAGUAAUUAAGAGGACAGGAUAGACAUGAGACUUUUUUUAAUGAAUAGAAUAGGGUGAAUGAUACAUCAUUAGAAAUUGUCAAAGGAAUCUCCAAUUUUUUGAGACUGGAUAAUCUCAGAGAAUGGUGGUGUCAUUAAGGAACUAGCAACCAAGGAAGGGAAGUUAGUUUGUCAAACAAUUUAGGUUUAAGUACUGGAGGCAGAGCUGACGCUGGGGUAGAACAAUGAAGGGCAUCACCUUGACUUCUAUUUGCCUUGUUUCCAUUCUGCUCUCACACACAGCUAGCUAGAACAAUGGAGGAGGCAGGGGCAGGUGAAGAAACAGAUGCAUUCAGCUGGAGUUAUAAAAGAACCUAGGGUGCUUACAUGAGUUAGAACUCUGGUAUCCAAAUAUUGAGCAUCAACCUUUUAAACAAUUUUCAAGAUUUCUUUUCCUCAGAGCAAAAGAAUUGACAACUGCUUUCUAGACCAACUCAUAUUGGUCCUAUAUAGCCCCUAGAACUCUGUGUGCUGGGAAAUGUCCCUCGGUGGAUGGGGCUCCUGAAUAUCUGCAGACUAGAAGCACCCACUCAGAACCUGUGUUCUCAUUUUCUCUGCUGGUCAGAUAAGUGUUUUCAGGGACUGGAUAAGGAAACCAUGAAGGCUAGACUGGUCCAAUCCAGAGUUUUAAAGCUCAAACAAGUACUUUUAGGGACAUGCAUUCUGAGUGAGGUACAAAGCUGAUAUGCAGGAUGGAAUGAUGUAGCUGUGAAUAAGCCUAGCAUGGUUGUUGUUUAUUAUCACUCAUUAAAAAGAAGUAAAAUAGCUUCUUUUUGAAUAUGGUCAUCCACUGUGCUAUAAAGUGUUAGUAAAAAUUAAAGAAGUAGUUAAUAGGAAAAGGAUAACUUAAAGUGUAAAGAUUGGAUAGAAAUGAGACAGGAAAGAAAGGCAAGAACCCGUGCAAUGAUUUUCCCACUUGUAAAUUUGGAGAUGCUUGAAGGAUUUCUGGAAGAGUGAUAAGGUGUGCAGGAAUGGCUGCCUGGCAAUUUCAUUCCUCAGGAUGAGUGAUGCUUUUUGCAAUUCUUCUUCUCUUAUUUACCCUUCAAGAAUGCCCUUGUUAAGUCUAUCCACUUUUCAUCUGAAUAAUAAUAAUGUAAAAAGUUCUGUGGAGGCAGGGAUGGCGAUAAUAUGCAACAUAGAUUUCAAGAGGUCUGCACAGUUUCAAGAUCUGCCCUUGUAGUAGGAUGUCCUGUUACCUUCUCCUUCCCUUUUCUCUUUUUUGAACAUCUAUAUAUUCCCAAAUGUUUCCUUGUAUAAAUUUAAAAAAAAUGUGAACUCCUCUCCAAUACAGUAAAAAGCACGAUUUGUUACCCAUAUUCUUUUUUUCUUCUACCAAAGGCAGAUGCCACCUUUGUAAUCUGUCCCUGCUGGAGAUUAUAUAUUUCUUCUAGUGACUGAAUCAGUCACUAAAAAAGUAGAAAAGUUAAAGAAAAAAAAAGGAGGCAGAAAAUAGGGAUGUUUAAACUAUAUAGAAUGAAUAAAUAAUUCAAUGAUAUUAACCUCUCAACUACCUGCAAAGCUUUCUUUGUAGCUCAAAUCAUGAGCCAGCCUUGUGAGAGAAACGGUGUUUAUCAUUUAUUUAAUACACAUGGCUGCAGCCUAAGGAAGAAAAGUUUAAAAGUAAUGUCAACAGGCAAAGGAUCACACUAGGAGUCAUCGAACUCACCUUGCAUUUCUCCCUGAGGCAGAGCUGAUGUGAAUUCAUUCAGGGCCAUUCUAUUAUUCAUGCAAAGAACUGUCUAUCACAAAUGCAAUAUGAAAAGGAGGUGCGCCCCAUGUGAGGCAUGAAAUAUCAUCUCUAAUAACUGGCAGUUUAAUUCCAAGAUUUCGAGACUGCUCAUUUAAAAGUACCUGAAGCAAAGUUCUAAAGCACAAAAUGAUAAAGGAAAUCAUUGUUGUUAUACUUUAAGAAACCAUGUCUUAUAUCUGCUAGAAAAUACAAGAAAUUGGGUUAAAAGGAAGAUAUGAAAAAUAAUGCAAACACUGACAAUGGAAUGCCAUGGCAGCCAGUGCCUCAGAGUAAGAAUUUUUCAUAACUCUGGAACACAUUCACUAGGAUAUAGUCUUUGUAAUUAUCUUGGAAAACUGGUCUUAUUUCUCUCUAAUCAUAGAGCAAUUGAGAAAAGAAGUCACACAAAUUACAGCAGAAUCUAGAAUUUAUAGAAGAACCUAGAUCUUGAAGCAUAAUCAUUUUUGCCUGCUGAUAGACUAAAGCAUUGCUGACUCAGAUAUCUAGAAAGGACCAUAGGAAUCACCCACUAUAAUAAACUUUUUCGAAUGGUUAAGAAACUGAGACCCAGUGACAGACAUAAGACCAGAACUGUAUUACCUGAUAGUCUUUCUACCAUCCUCCAUACAUUUUUAAAAAUUAUACUAAAAAUAAUAUAAUAGUGUUUAAAUUUCCACUUUAUAAAUGUUCUCAAACCCUUUUACAUAUAUAAUGCUAUAAACCCUGCUUAACAGAUGCUUCGUAUUGAUGCAUUAAAGAAUGAGAAUAACUGUCUAACACCCCAAAUUAGAUGUGUUGUGGUGGUUUGUGGGGGCAAUAGGUAGGUUUGUGGGGUUCCUAAGUCAAGGCUCUAUAGGAAAACCAAAAUUAGAGCAAUGGGUAGAGAUGAUAAUAGAAAAGGAAGCCAAAGCCCACUCAGCCAAGGAAAGGAGUUAAAAAUAGGAGGUCAAACAGAAACCAGGGCUAUGGACCUAGGACUUCCUGUCCCAGGGAGACAAGUACAAGAGCAGCAGCAGAUGUAAUCAGGACCCCGUCUGGGGUAACAGCCUGGAGCAGAUGCUGUCUAUGAGUGGUCUCUAUGUGCCAGCUGUGGCAGGGUGAGUGGGUGGGCUGAUUAUGAUUAAAUACAGGAUUGAGACAGGCUCACACAUAUGGGAAAUGUUAAGCUGGUUUACUUGCUGUAUUUCUGGUCUAGCCUCAAAUUUUCUCCAGCUGGACACUUCUAGCAUAGUGAGAAAGCAUAAGCAACAACCAGAACCUCAGCCCACCCACUACUAAUGAGGCUUGGUUUUCUUCUUAGAGUCAGCUAGACCCCAAGAGCAUCUCUGACCAUCUCCAAUAGAAUAUGAAAGUCAU
Molecule: long non-coding RNA, 4074 nt
Filed under: Canis lupus familiaris (dog)
Lineage: Eukaryota; Metazoa; Chordata; Mammalia; Carnivora; Canidae
Description: lncRNA (ENSCAFG00845030843.1)
Source: RNAcentral